This 253-nucleotide ribosomal RNA is filed under the name uncultured bacterium. RNAcentral's name for it is "partial 16S ribosomal RNA". It matches the Rfam family "Bacterial small subunit ribosomal RNA", at positions 524 to 776 of the family's 1533-position model. The record is from RNAcentral.
UACGUAGGGAGCAAGCGUUAUCCGGAUUUACUGGGUGUAAAGGGCGCGUAGGCGGGAUGGCAAGUCAGAUGUGAAAUCCAGGGGCUCAACCCCUGAACUGCAUUUGAAACUGUCGUUCUUGAGUACUGGAGAGGUUGACGGAAUUCCUAGUGUAGCGGUGAAAUGCGUAGAUAUUAGGGGGAACACCAGUGGCGAAGGCGGUCAACUGGACAGCAACUGACGCUGAGGCGCGAAAGCGUGGGGAGCAAACAGG